RNAcentral lists this ribosomal RNA (633 nucleotides) under Klebsiella pneumoniae. RNAcentral describes it as "partial 23S ribosomal RNA". It matches the Rfam family "Bacterial large subunit ribosomal RNA", at positions 1132 to 1767 of the family's 2925-position model. The record is from RNAcentral. Lineage: Bacteria; Pseudomonadati; Pseudomonadota; Gammaproteobacteria; Enterobacterales; Enterobacteriaceae.
GCGUAAUAGCUCACUGGUCGAGUCGGCCUGCGCGGAAGAUGUAACGGGGCUAAACCAUGCACCGAAGCUGCGGCAGCGACACUAUGUGUUGUUGGGUAGGGGAGCGUUCUGUAAGCCUGCGAAGGUGUGCUGUGAGGCAUGCUGGAGGUAUCAGAAGUGCGAAUGCUGACAUAAGUAACGAUAAAGCGGGUGAAAAGCCCGCUCGCCGGAAGACCAAGGGUUCCUGUCCAACGUUAAUCGGGGCAGGGUGAGUCGACCCCUAAGGCGAGGCCGAAAGGCGUAGUCGAUGGGAAACAGGUUAAUAUUCCUGUACUUGGUGUUACUGCGAAGGGGGGACGGAGAAGGCUAUGUUAGCCGGGCGACGGUUGUCCCGGUUUAAGCAUGUAGGCUGAUUAUCCAGGCAAAUCCGGAUAAUCAAGGCUGAGGUGUGAUGACGAGGCACUACGGUGCUGAAGUAACAAAUGCCCUGCUUCCAGGAAAAGCCUCUAAGCAUCAGGUAACAUCAAAUCGUACCCCAAACCGACACAGGUGGUCAGGUAGAGAAUACCAAGGCGCUUGAGAGAACUCGGGUGAAGGAACUAGGCAAAAUGGUGCCGUAACUUCGGGAGAAGGCACGCUGGUGUGUAGGUGAAG